RNAcentral lists this ribosomal RNA (433 nucleotides) under uncultured bacterium. Its description in RNAcentral is "partial 16S ribosomal RNA". It matches the Rfam family "Bacterial small subunit ribosomal RNA", at positions 29 to 507 of the family's 1533-position model. The record is from RNAcentral.
AACGAACGCUGGCGGCAUGCCUAACACAUGCAAGUCGAACGAUGCUUUCGGGCAUAGUGGCGCACGGGUGCGUAACGCGUGGGAAUCUGCCCUUGGGUUCGGAAUAACAGUGAGAAAUUGCUGCUAAUACCGGAUGAUGUCUUCGGACCAAAGAUUUAUCGCCCAGGGAUGAGCCCGCGUAGGAUUAGCUAGUUGGUGGGGUAAUGGCCUACCAAGGCGACGAUCCUUAGCUGGUCUGAGAGGAUGAUCAGCCACACUGGGACUGAGACACGGCCCAGACUCCUACGGGAGGCAGCAGUGGGGAAUAUUGGACAAUGGGCGCAAGCCUGAUCCAGCAAUGCCGCGUGAGUGAUGAAGGCCUUAGGGUUGUAAAGUUCUUUUACCCGGGAUGAUAAUGAUAGUACCGGGAGAAUAAGCUCCGGCUAACUCCGUG